AACGAACGCUGGCGGCAUGCCUAACACAUGCAAGUCGAACGAACCCUUCGGGGUUAGUGGCGCACGGGUGCGUAACGCGUGGGGAUCUGCCCUUUGCUUCGGAAUAACAGUUAGAAAUGACUGCUAAUACCGGAUGAUGUCGUAAGACCAAAGAUUUAUCGGCAAAGGAUGAACCCGCGUAGGAUUAGCUAGUUGGUGGGGUAAAGGCCUACCAAGGCGACGAUCUUUAGCUGGUCUGAGAGGAUGAUCAGCCACACUGGGACUGAGACACGGCCCAGACUCCUACGGGAGGCAGCAGUGGGGAAUAUUGGACAAUGGGCGAAAGCCUGAUCCAGCAAUGCCGCGUGAGUGAUGAAGGCC
RNAcentral lists this ribosomal RNA (360 nucleotides) under uncultured bacterium. RNAcentral describes it as "bacterial SSU rRNA". It matches the Rfam family "Bacterial small subunit ribosomal RNA", at positions 29 to 416 of the family's 1533-position model. The record is from RNAcentral.